AUGCUAAAAAUUAUUACUCCAACAAUUAUACUGUUACCAAUGAUAUGAUUCUCUAAAAAUUAUAUAAUCUGAAUCAACAUGGUUAUCCACAGCCUGCUCAUCAGCCUUAUCAGCCUACUAUUUUUUAACCAAUUGAACGAUAACUCAUCCAACUUCUCAUUAAUCUUUUCUGACCUGCUGACAUCACCCCUUCUAAUCUUAACAGUCUGACUACUGCCUCUUAUAAUUCUAGCAAGCCAAUACCACCUGUCCAAUGAAUCACCCCCAUGAAAAAAUUCUAUAUUUCGAUAUUGAUUUCUCUACAGACUUUUUUAAUCAUAGCAUUCACUGCCACAGACUAAUCAUAUUUUAUAUCCUCUUUGAAGCCACACUAGUUCCCACCCUAAUUAUCACCACCCACUGAGGCAACCAACCAGAACGCCUCAAUGCAAGAUCACACUUCUUAUUUUACACACUAGUAGGAUCCCUUCCUUUAUUUGUAACAUUUGUUUAUACUCCAAAUACCUCAGGUUCACUAAAUAUGCUAGUAAUAAUAUUUACUAUCCAAGAGCUAUUAACCUCCUGAUCCAAUAAUCUUGUAUCACUAGCAUGUAUCAUGGCCUUCAUAGUAAAAAUACCUCUAUAUGGACUUCACCUAUGACUCCCCAGAGCCCAUGUAGAAUCCCCUAUUGCCAACUCAAUAGUACUUGCAGCAGUACUCCUAAAGCUAGGCGGUUACCGUAUAAUAUGGCUUACUCUUAACCUCAACCCCCAACAGAACAUAUAGCCUACCCUUUCCUCAUGUUGUCCCUAUGAGGAAUAGUUAUGACAAACUCUAUUUGUCUACGACAAACAGAUCUAAAAUCACUUAUUGCCUACUUCUCCAUAAGCCACAUAACACUUGUUAUUAUGGCUAUCCUCAUUCAGACCCCUUGAAGCUUUAUAGAUGCGAUCAUCCUUAUAAUUGCUCAUGGACUCACUUCAUCCUUACUCUUCUGCCUAGCAAAUUCAAACUACGAGCAAGUCCAUAGCCAAACCAUAUUUCUUACCUGAGGCCUUCAAACACUGCUCCCGCUAAUAGCCUCUUGAUGACUUCUAGCAAAUCUUACUAGCCUUGCCUUACCCCCUACCAUUAAUCUAGUAGAAGAACUCUUUGUGACUAUGGCCUUAUUCUCCUGAUCAAAUAUCACUAUUAUGCUUAUACGACUUAAUAUACUAAUUACAGCCCUUUACUCCCUGUAUAUGCUAAUCACAACACGAGGGACACUUGCAUAUUAUAUUAACAGUAUUAAACCUUCCUUUACAUGAGAAAACACAUUAAUACUUAUACAUCUUGCACCUAUCUUCCUAUUAUCCUUAAACCCUAAAAUUAUUAUGUGGUUU
RNAcentral lists this long non-coding RNA (1362 nucleotides) under Homo sapiens (human). Its description in RNAcentral is "non-protein coding lnc-MAP9-7:1". The record is from RNAcentral. Lineage: Eukaryota; Metazoa; Chordata; Mammalia; Primates; Hominidae.